Etheostoma spectabile (orangethroat darter) is the source of this 122-nucleotide long non-coding RNA. RefSeq lists it as uncharacterized. The record is from RefSeq and is a predicted model, not a curated record. Lineage: Eukaryota; Metazoa; Chordata; Actinopteri; Perciformes; Percidae. The transcript is spliced from 4 exons.
UUGUAAUGAUUAUAGGGAGAUGCAGCACUUCGGUGGUAACUCAAUUCCCAUUGGCAGUACAUGCAAAUAACUUUAGUCUUGUCGAGAGAACCAUCUUGAAGGGCUUUAAAACUUAACUUUCC